GACGAACGCUGGCGGCGUGCUUAACACAUGCAAGUCGAACGAGAAUCUACAGAUCGAGGAUUCGUCCAAGUGAAGUAGAGGACAGUGGCGGACGGGUGAGUAACGCGUGAGGAACCUGCCUUUCAGAGGGGGACAACAGUUGGAAACGACUGCUAAUACCGCAUGACACAUUGGGGUCGCAUGGCCCUGAUGUCAAAGAUUUAUCGCUGAAAGAUGGCCUCGCGUCUGAUUAGCUAGUUGGUGAGGUAACGGCCCACCAAGGCGACGAUCAGUAGCCGGACUGAGAGGUUGACCGGCCACAUUGGGACUGAGAUACGGCCCAGACUCCUACGGGAGGCAGCAGUGGGGAAUAUUGGGCAAUGGGCGCAAGCCUGACCCAGCAACGCCGCGUGAAGGAAGAAGGCUUUCGGGUUGUAAACUUCUUUUGUCAGGGA
RNAcentral lists this ribosomal RNA (434 nucleotides) under uncultured bacterium. RNAcentral describes it as "bacterial SSU rRNA". It matches the Rfam family "Bacterial small subunit ribosomal RNA", at positions 28 to 445 of the family's 1533-position model. The record is from RNAcentral.